AUUUUACAAUCUUCAGUGAUCCAUUGAGUUGGGACUGUCUAGAUUCCAGAAGAGUACUGAUAGCACCUAGGACCAAAUUUUCAUUGGGCACUGACGACAAGGAUGAGAAUACCAAUAUGGUUGUGACUGUUGCUGCACCAGUCACAUUUGUUGACAAUGUUUUGGGUAUGUUUGAAGUUUCUGGUUGCAAACUUGAAGUACUUUGAAGUGUUGCAGAUGCAUCUGCUUUUGUUGCAUUGUUUAGAGGUGUAGUAUUGCUAGAAAGAGUUUCAGCUGGUGUUGUUUUGAUUGAUGAUUGACUUGGAAUUGUAGAUGCUGGGGAUGUUGAUGCAUUUGUGUUUGAAACUGAUGUUAUUGGAGCUAUUGGAAAUUCUGCUGCACUGGUGAGACCUGUAUUAAUUCCAGUUGUAGUUGUUGAUGCAGUUGUAGUUUCUGAAUCCAUGUUUGGGAUUGGAGUUGUUUUGGUUGAAAGUGCAAGUGUGGCUGGAGCAGAAGAUGUGUUGGUAAAAGCUACAGUUGUUCUUAAAAGAUCUCCUGUUGUUACUUGAAAUGCAGUUGUUGUUUGAGCUGCAGUUGAACUUGGAAUAGUGGCUGUUGUUGUGGUUGGAGCUGUAGUUGAGAUAUCAGCUGGAACUGUAGUGGUGGGAAGAACAGUCAUGGUUGUAAUGGGUGUAGUUGGGGUUCUUGGAGGUUCAGUUGUUUUUAUUGGAGUUAAAGUUGGGGAUAUAGUUACAUGUGAUGAUGAGAUAGGCAUAAUUGUUACAGCAAUAGUUACAGUCUCCGGAGACACAGUUGUGAUAAUUGGAGGUGCAUUUGUUGUGGUAAGGAGUCCUGCUUGGCUUAGAGCUGGAGCUGUAUUAGUGAAAGCAAUAGUUGUGGUUGAUAGAGGUGCAGUUGUUAUUCGGAAUGCAGUUGUUGUUGCCGCUGUAGGUGUGUUUGUGCCUGGAAUUGAAGUUGAGGUUUGAGAUGGAUUUUCUGUUGUGGGAUAGUUAUUCGUAGAAGAGGAAGCUGUAAUGGUGGAUGUUGCAGGUGCAGGAGUACUUUCUGAAGUUGUAGACAUUGUUGGUGAAGUAAGAGUUGAGGUUUCAGUAGUUGUGGCUGGGGUUAAACUUGAUGUAGUAGUUGAAUAUUCCAUCAUGGUUGUGGAAUCUGUGGUUACAGCAGGUGAAGUUAUACUUUCUGAAUUUGUGUUCGGACCUUUUGAUGUUGUACUUGCAGCCUUAGGUGUGGUUUGAUCUGAUGUAGAAGUGGAAGGAAUGGUUGUGGUGAUGGAAGCUGUAGUUGUGGUUGUUGCAAGAGAAGCUGCUGUUGUCGUUGAAGCUACAGUGGUAGUUGUGGACGUUGUAGUUAUCGAUGUUGUUGGUGCAGUUGUGGUUUCUGAAGUCAUUUUGGUGAUUGUGAGUGUUUCAGUAGUUGCAGGUGCAAGUGGCAUUGUGGUUUGAGCUGUUGUUGCACUUGGAGCUUCAGAUGACAUUGGAGCUGAUGUCAUAGAGGAAGGUACAUUUAUAGAUGAGGAAGCUGUAGUUACUGAUGUUGUUACAGGUGCAGAUGUUUCUGAAGAUGUAGCCAUUGUUGUUGAAAUUACAGCUGUUGAUGUUGUUGGAUAAUUAGUUGCUGUACCUCGAGAUUCAGAUGAGGUUGGAGAUGAUGAUGUAGUAGUAGAAUGCACUAUCGCAGCUGAGGAAGCUGUAGAUGUUGAAGAUGCAGUUGUAAUUUCGGAAGCUGUAGUCACAGUAGUGGAUGGCCCCACUGUGGCUGUGGAAGCUGCAGUUGUGCUUGCUGCAGGUGUAGUUGUACUUUCUGAUGUUGUAGGCAUUGUUGUAGACGUAAGAGUUGUUGCUCCUGAAGUCACAACAGUGGAUGUGAGAGCUCCAGUAGAUGUGGUUGCAAGCAGCAAUGUGGUUUUAGAUGUUGUUGUACUUGGAGCUUCAGAUGACAUUGGAGCUGAUGUCAUAGAGGAAGGUACAGUUGUAGGUGAGGAAGCUGUAGUUACUGAUGUUGUUACAGGUGCAGUUGUUUCUGAAGAUGUAGGCACUGUUGUUGAAGUGAGAGUUGAGGAUUCUGAAGUUACAGCUGUUGAUGUUGUUGGAGUGUUCUUUGCUGUAAAUAUAGUUGAUGAAGCCGUAGUCAUAGCUUCUGCCGUUGUACUCUCUGAAGUUGUAGGCACCACUGUCGAAAUGAUAGGUGUGGUUUCUGUUCUCACAACCGUGGUUGUGGGAAUAUAGGUUUUUGAGGAUACUGUAGUUACUGAUGUUACAGUUGCAGUAGAUUCUGAAGAUGUAGGCUUAGCUGUUGAAGUAAGAGUUAUGGAUUCAGUACUCACAACUGUGGUUGUGGGAAUUUCAGUAGUUGAGGAUGCUGUAGUUACUGAUUUUGUUAGAGGUGUAGUUGUUUCUGAAGAUGUAGCUAUAACUGUUGAAGUAGGAGUUGUAGAUUCAGAAGUUACAAAUGUUGAUGUUGUUGGAUUGUUCGUUUUUGUAGGUGUGGUUGAUGAAGCUGUAGUCGUGGUUUCUGCUGUUGUACUCUCUGAAGUUGUAGGCACCACUGUUGAAGUAACAGAUGUGGUUUCUGAACUCACAGCUGUGCUUGUAGGAAUUUCAGUAGUUGAGGAUGCUGUAGUUACUGACGUUGUUACAGGUGCAGUUGUUUCUAUAGAUGUAGGCAAUGUUGUUGAAGUGAGAGUUGUGGAUUCAGAAGUUGCAGCUAUUGAUCUUGUUGGAUUGUUUGUUGUUGUAGGAGUGGUUGAUGAAGCUGUAGUCGUGGUUUCUACUGUUGUACUCUCUGAAGUUGUAGGCACCACUGUUGAAGUAGUAGAUGUGGAUUCUGAACUCAAAACUGUGGUUGUGGGAAUUUCAAUAGUUGAGGAUGCUGUAGUUACUGAUGUUGUUACAGGUGCAGUUGUUUCUAUAGAUGUAGGCAAUGCUGUUGAACUGAGAGUUGUGGAUUCUGAAGCUACAGCUGUUGUUGUUGUUGGAGUGUUUGUUGUUGAAGGAGUGGUUGAUGAAGCUGUAGUCGUGGUUUCUACUGUUGUACUCUCUGAAGUUGUAGGCACCACUGUUGAAGUAGUAGAUGUGGAUUCUGUACUCACAACUGUGGUUGUGGGAAUGUCAGUAGUUGAGGAUGCUGUAGUUAUAACUGUUGAAGUAAGAGUUGUAGAUUCUGAAGCUACAGCUGUUGUUGUUGUUGGAUUGUUUGUUGUUGAAGGAGUGGUUGAUGAAGCUGUAGUCGUGGUUUCUACUGUUGUACUCUCUGAAGUUGUAGGCACCACUGCUGAAGUAGUAGAUGUGGAUUCUGUACUCACAACUGUGGUUGUGGGAAUUUCAGUAGUUGAGGAUGCUGUAGUUAUAACUGUUGAAGUAAGAGUUGUAGAUUCAGAAGUUACAGAUGUUGAUGUUGUUGGAUUGUUUGUUGUUGUAGGAGUGGUUGAUGAAGCUGUAGUCGUGGUUUCUACUGUUGUACUCUCUGAAGUUGUAGGCACCACUGUUGAAGUAGUAGAUGUGGAUUCUGUACUCACAACUGUGGUUGUGGGAAUUUCAGUAGUUGAGGAUGCUGUAGUUACUGAUUUUGUUAGAGGUGUAGUUGUUUCUGAAGAUGUAGCUAUAACUGUUGAAGUAGGAGUUGUAGAUUCAGAAGUUACAAAUGUUGAUGUUGUUGGAUUGUUCGUUUUUGUAGGUGUGGUUGAUGAAGCUGUAGUCAUGGUUUCUCCUGUUGUACUCUCUGAAGUCGUAGGCACCACUGUUGAAGUAAUGGAUGUGGUUUCUGAACUCACAACUGUGGUUGUGGGAAUUUCAGUACUUGAGGAUGCUGUAGUUACUGAUGUUGUUACAGGUGCAGUUGUUUCUAUAGAUGUAGGCACUGUUGUUGAAGUGAGAGUUGUGGAUUCUGAAGUUGCAGCUGUUGAUGUUGUUGGAUUGUUUGUUGUUGUAGGAGUGGUUGAUGAAGCUGUAGUCGUUGUUUCUACUGUUGUACUCUCUGAAGUUGUAGGCACCACUGUUGAAGUAAUAGAUGUGGUUUCUAAACUCACCACUAUGGUUGUGGGAAUUUCAGUAGUUGAGGAUGCUGUAGUUACUGAUGUUGUUAGAGGUGUAGUUAUUUCUGAAGAUGUAGGUAUAAUUGUUGAAGUAAGACUUGUAGAUUCAGAAGUUACAGAUGUUGAUGUUGUUGGAUUGGUCGUUGUUGUUGGUGUGGUUGAUGAAACUGUAGUCGUGGUUUCUGAUGUUGUACUCUCUGAAGUUGUAGGCACCACUGUUGAAGAAACAGAUGUGGUUUCUGAACUUACAACUGUGGUUGUGGGAAUUUCAGUAGUUGAGGAUGCUGUAGUUACUGAUGUUGUUACAGGUGCAGUUGUUUCUAUAGAUGUAGGCACUGUUGUUGAAGUGAGAGUUGUGGAUUCUGAAGUUGCAGCUGUUGAUGUUGUUGGAUUGUUCGUUGUUGUAGUUGUGGUUGAUGAAGCUGUAGUCGUGGUUUCUGCUGUUGUACUCUCUGAAGUUGUAGGCACCACUGUUGAAGUAAUAGAUGUGGUUUCUGUACUCACAACUGUGGUUGUGGGAAUGUCAGUAGUUGAGAGUGCUGUAGUUACUGAAGUUGUUAAAGGUGCAGUUGUUUCUGAAGAUGUAGGUGCUGUCGUUGUAGUAAGAAUUGUGGAUUCUGAAGUUACAACUGUUGAUGUUGUUGGUUCGUUUGUUGUUGUAGGAGCAGUUGAUGAAGCUGUAGUCGUGGUUUCUACUGUUGUACUCUCUGAAGUUGUAGGCAUCACUAUUGAAGUAGUAGAUAUGGAUUCUGUACCAGCAAUUGUGGUUGUGGGAAUUUCAGUUGUUGAGGAUGCUGUAGUUACUGAUGUUGUUAGAGGUGUAGUUGUUUCUGAAGAUGUAAGUAUAACUGUUGAAGUAAGAGUUGUAGAUUCAGAAGUUACAGAUGUUGUUGUUGUUGGAUUGUUCGUUGUUGUUGGUGUGGUUGAUGAAACUGUAGUCGUGGUUUCUGCUGUUGUACUCUCUGAAGUUGUAGGCACCACUGUUGAAGAAACAGAUGUGGUUUCUGAACUUACAACUGUGGUUGUGGGAAUUUCACUAGUUGAGGAUGCUGUAGUUACUGAUGUUGUUACAGGUGCAGUUGUUUCUAUAGAUGUAGCCACUGUUGAUGAAGUGAGAACUGUAGAUUCUGAAGUUGCAGCUGUUGAUGUUGUUGGAUUGUUAGUUGUUGUAGGAGUGGUUGAUGAAGCUGUAGUCGUUGUUUCUACUGUUGUACUCUCUGAAGUUGUAGGCACAACUGUUGAAGUAAUAGAUGUGGUUUCUAAACUCACCACUGUGGUUUUUGGAAUUUCAGUAGUUGAGGAUGCUGUAGUUACUGAUGUUGUUAGAGGUGUAGUUGUUUCUGAAGAUGUAGGUAUAACUGUUGAAGUAAGAGUUGUAGAUUCAGAAGUUACAGAUGUUGAUGUUGUUGGAUUGUUCCUUGUUGUUGGUGUGGUUGAUGAAACUGUAGUCGUGGUUUCUGCUGUUGUACUCUCUGAAGUUGUAGGCACCACUGUUGAAGAAACAGAUGUGGUUUCUGAACUUACAACUGUGGUUGUGGGAAUUUCAGUAGUUGAGGAUGCUGUAGUUACUGAUGUUGUUACAGGUGCAGUUGUUUCUAUAGAUGUAGGCACUGUUGUUGAAGUGAGAGUUGUGGAUUCUGAAGUUGCAGCUGUUGAUGUUGGAUUGUUCGUUGUUGUAGUUGUGGUUGAUGAAGCUGUAGUCGUGGUUUCUGCUGUUGUACUCUCUGAAGUUGUAGGCACCGCUGUUGAAGUAAUAGAUGUGGUUUCUGUACUCACAACUGUGGUUGUCGGAAUUUCAGUAGUUGAGGAUGCUGUAGUUUCUGAAGUUGUUAAAGGUGCAGUUGUUUCUGAAGAUGUAGGCGCUGUCGUUGAAAUUAGAGUUGUGGAUUCUGAAGUUACAGCUGUUGAUGUUGUUGGAUUGUUUGUUGUUGUAGGAGUGGUUGAUGAAGCUGUAGUCGUGGUUUCUACUGUUGUACUUUCUGAAGUUGUAGGCAUCACUGUUGAAGUAAUAGAUGUGGUUUCUGUACUCACAACUGUGGUUCUGGGAAUUUCAGUAGUUGAGGAUGCUGUAGUUACUGAUGUUGUUAGAGGUGUAGUUGUUUCUGAAGAUGUAGGUGUAACUGUUGAAGUAAGAGUUGUAGAUUCAGAAGUUACAGAUGUUGAUGUUGUUGGAUUGUUCGUUGUUGUAGUUGUGGUUGAUGAAGCUGUAGUCGUGGUUUCUGCUGUUGUACUCUCUGAAGUUGUAGGCACCACUGUUGAAGUAAUAGAUGUGGUUUCUGUACUCACAACUGUGGUUGUGGGAAUUUCAGUAGUUGAGGAUGCUGUAGUUUCUGAAGUUGUUAAAGGUGCAGUUGUUUCUGAAGAUGUAGGCGCUGUCGUUGAAAUGAGAGUUGUGGAUUCUGAAGUUACAGCCGUUGAUGUUGUUAGAUCGUUUGUUGUUGUAGGAGUGGUUGAUGAAGCUGUAGUCGUGGUUUCUACUGUUGUACUCUCUGAAGUUGUAUGCACCACUGUUGAAGUAAUAGAUGUGGUUUCUGUAC
This is a long non-coding RNA of Cyprinus carpio carpio, 6567 nucleotides long. The record is from Ensembl. Lineage: Eukaryota; Metazoa; Chordata; Actinopteri; Cypriniformes; Cyprinidae.